UACAGAGGGGGCAAGCGUUGUUCGGAAUUACUGGGCGUAAAGGGCGCGUAGGCGGCCUUCUAAGUCAGACGUGAAAUCCCUCGGCUCAACCGGGGAACUGCGUCUGAGACUGGAAGGCUUGAAUUCGGGAGAGGGAUGUGGAAUUCCAGGUGUAGCGGUGAAAUGCGUAGAUAUCUGGAGGAGCACCGGUGGCGAAGGCGGCAUCCUGGACCGAUAUUGACGCUGAUGCGCGAAAGCCAGGGGAGCAAACGGG
Molecule: ribosomal RNA, 253 nt
Filed under: uncultured bacterium
Lineage: Bacteria
Description: partial 16S ribosomal RNA
Rfam family: Bacterial small subunit ribosomal RNA
Source: RNAcentral